GUUGCUGAAGAGGAGCAGCAGCCGCACAAGAGUAUCUGAGGAUGACUCCUCCGUUUCUAACCCAUCCCCUUCCUUCCACUGUUUUGGAUGAUGAACUUGAUCCUGCUUAAUUAAUUAAUUUCUCAUCGUGCUUAAUUAGCUGUAAAUGUGCCCCCUUAUUGAAGAAGAAGAAGAAGAUAAUACAAAUGUAAUUUAAUUGGAUGGUCCUUUUCAUCAUGCUUAAUUAGCUGUAAAUGUGCCUCCCUUACUGAAGAAUAUAAGAAUCCAUAUGUGUUAUGCAAAAUUAACUUUGUCAUCUAGUAAGCACUCUAGGCAGUGUCUAGAGGGUGAAAAUAUGAGAACAAAAAAGAAUUACUGGAUUAAUUUAAAACAUCCAUCCUUUCCUCCGUCCUUGUCAUUGUUAUUUACCCCUGGGAGUAUUUUUAACUUGAAAAUCUCUGGUGAACUGCCAUUUCAAGUACAUUUGCUUGCUCUGUUAAUUUUUUGGGUUACUCCAUCUUGCUCUGUUAAGUAAAAUUUGAUAUGUGGAGUAGCAGUAGUAAGCUAGACCCUCCAUCUUGCUCUGUACAUAGUCAAAGCUACUCCAAGUUAGCAGCAAUACUGUUAACUUCUCAAUUUGCUUGGAUUACAUUUAACUUCUAGUACUCCAGUACUCUAGUAAUUUUGCUUAGAGUAUUUAACAAGAUUGAACUGUACAUGUGUGGAGUAAUUUUGCUGGGAGUAUUUAACAAGAUUGAACAAGAUUUAACUUGUCAACAUUUAACAGUAUUUUCAGUAAGUAUUCUGAACAUGCUUCUGAAUAUUUCCAGAUUUUGAACAUGCAAGCAAAUCUGCAGGAGUAAACAAGUUCUUGCGGUAGAUAUUGCAAGUGUUUUAUCUAAACAUCUACUCUCACCGAAGAUAUUUCAAGUGGUCUGACCAGAUUUUCUCAGUUUGCAAGUUUACUUACUUUUCCAGUUAAUUAACUGGACAUCUUGGAGUAGUUAGAAAAUCAUGAAUUAUUUGCAGAAAACCAUAGAAGUAUUGUACUCCAGGGUGCAUUACGUACAUAAACUUGCUUGCAAGCUUAUUUUCUGACUCACAUAUUCUGAAACUAAAAAAGCUUAGUUAACUUGCGUGGUACAUUUGGUAAAAAUGGAAUGGUUCCAUCCUGCACAACAUACUUUGAGUGAAUGUUGAGUACUGUAUGCACUUGUGUAAUAUAUGUUGGUUGAUGAAUGCCUGGGUGUGUCACUGCUUGUUCCAUGCUACAUUUAGGAAUUGUUCAUUUUUGUGUUAUGACAACUUCACUGCUUCCUGCCAAAACCUUUUAAAAUCUUGCAGAUUCUAGUGCUACCACACAACUAGAUCAGUAUUUGAUUACUGUUACAAGUGGAGGUCUAAAUCAGCAGAGAACAGGGGUGAGAUGUACAUGUCCCAACCUCCUUCCCUCCCAUGUAUGAAUACGCUCUCAAGUAGUCAUUUUUGUGAGUGGGCAUAUGAUAAGAACUAAGAAUUCACCUUCACUAAUUGUCUAUGAUAUUUCAUCAGGAUCUAUAAGUACUUGAGGUACAUAUUGGCCGCACCACCAAUUUGUGUAGUUCUUUGGCCCUCUUGGUAGUGGGUUCUCAGUAGGACUAUAGAGUUGAUAGUAUGCUUCUAUGCAUCCCCAUUUAUAAGUUAUGCAGAAUAAGAAUUACAAUUUGCUGCAAUUCAGAUGUUUUGAAUUCUUCAAUCUUGAAUUGUUCAAUGAUGAUAGCUAUCUUGCACCGUACUAUAAAAUCAUGGAUCGGCAACUAGGUGAUUGUCAAUCCGUUCUUGCUAGAUGUGUUGUUGUUUUUCUUCUUCUAAGAUAAGAUGGUAGCAUCACAUGUCAUCCUAUCAUGUUGUACUAGUUCCUGAAGUGUAAGAUAAGAUGGUGGCAUCAGAUGUGUGUUCUGACUUGUGACUGUUUACUACAUGGAUACAUGCAGCUAGCUAGUAACCUAGCAGUACUAGUAAGAAUAUAUGUGACUAAUUCCCUCCCUAUACCUUGUGAUUGAUUCCAGGUAUAUACAGAUGCCAUCUUUGUCUGGCAACAUAUGCACCUGAUUACAUUCAGGUGCAUAUAGUAUACUUGAACAGUGUAAACAUAUGCAUCUGCAAAAUUAUCUCAUUCAUAGUGUGGUGCCUAUGUAUAUCAGUUAUCAAUUGGCUUGAUUUAGGCUGUUGAUAGUCAGUGUCUCAGUGACAGAAAUAACUCAAAAGCUAUACCUUUAGCUGUGCUGGCAAUCGAAUGUAUAUAAUCGUAACUGUGAAACUAGUUAUUACCGUAGCCAGCAGAUCUUUUUACUGAGCAUUAACUGGUAGUUCUCAUAAUCCAUCCCAUAGAUUACUUCCCCAACGUGUGUUCCGAGGGCUUUACCUGUUAGAAUUGAUGCUUGUUUCUACUAAGUGUUGCACUUGUUUCUACUAAGUUUUAACUGUGAAUCUAUUGUUUCACAUAUACUAUAUACAACUAUUGCCUUGAAGAAGUCAGCUCCCUUGGAUGGUGCAGUGUAGCAAAUCAAUGUCGAUUCAUUCAUUCUUUGGUGAGUGCGCACUACUAGCACAUUCUUUGUUGUGAUCAAGUGCGACUCAUAUCCAGUUGUUUUCUCACAUUAUUAUUUGGUUAUGCCAUGCCGCUGCCAUUGUUUGCUUAAGCAUUCUUUGCUCCAACCUGGCAUUGUGUUGCACUAGUACUAGUACAUACUUCAAUUGCAUGCAUGCAUGUUUGCCGUUCCCUGAACUGUUUGACUGCUUUGCAUACGGCUUGUGUCUUGCUGCUCUCUGACCUGUUGUACUGUCCAUAUGUUACUUGAUCAUUUGCAAAAUAUAUCUCAGUUUUCGCAGUAAUGAAAAUGUUAUAUGCAUGGUUUCCUGUUAAAUCUGAAGUUCUGCACCAAAUUUUCAUCGUUAUGAGAAUUUUAUAUUCACAGAUUCACUUGAUUAUGUUUCUAACUUUUCAUAAUUUAGUAUUUGCAGAUGUUGGCUUUCAUUCUUCCAAAGUUGGGUGUACAGGAGCUCUAGGAAGAAGAUUCCUGAAGAUAAACCACACCCAGCAAUGAGUUUUAGCUCACUAGAGAUAGUUAUGCUUGCAGCUAGUUAUGUGUAUAUUUAGUUGUAUUUUAUAGCUGAAUACCAGAAUUGUACUAUGCUUGGCUGUUGUAUGAAAUAUUAUGCCUUAUUUGGUCUUUUUG
This 3197-nucleotide long non-coding RNA is filed under the name Triticum aestivum (bread wheat). RNAcentral's name for it is "long non-coding RNA (TAES_LNC019784)". Lineage: Eukaryota; Viridiplantae; Streptophyta; Magnoliopsida; Poales; Poaceae. The record is from RNAcentral.